GAUGAACCGUUCAUUAGGCGAGGCGGCGUCACCGGCCCCCCCCCUUUUGAAUUUUAAUCUUCUUCCAUGAAGAAGAGUGUUUCUUUCCCUGUGCGUUCUGGUUUCUCAGAGAACCAGAAAUCUGUUUUGCUCGGCGAAUUAACCAGCUGCUGCAUCUUCAAUUCUGCAUCGCUCCGUACUCACAAUAUGUUUCGUUUGUUCUGCUCCGUGAUAUAAGAACUCACACGAGUGGUCAAAUCAAGUUCACCAAACCUUCCUUUGGCGAAUUGUGUUUUUUUCCAAGUCCAAGGUGGAUGGAAGCAACCUCGAGGCAUCCCUCACAGGAAGGUGCUUUGACUUUGUCUUCGGUUGUUUGUUAAAUCUUUCCAGUGAGAAUUUUCUCAUGCUAGUUUCCAUCAGCUUGGAAAAUUAACUUGAUUAUGUUUCCCACGAAAAAGGAAAUUUAAGAAUUAAAAAAAAAAAAAACCUUAGAAUUCAAAUCAAUGUUGUGCAUGCGCUAAUCUUUACCGGUCCACCUAACGACCCGUUCAUUUCUUACCUCUUUGACUGGAUAGACACCAUCAGUUUCUUCAUCGGUAUAACAGCCAGCCGCCCUCCUUAGCCAUCACUUCCUAGUUAAAAUAUUAUUCCACUCUCCAUUUUGGCCACCUUCUAGUCUUAUUAUUUGGAUCGUAAUUGUGUUUUACCCUAUUCUAGGAUUUUCCUCUGUUUACCAAUGUUGAAUUCUCAAUCUUAAAAAACUGACUAUAGCAAGGAUUGUCCAUGUUUAUCUGGUUGGUUUGAUAUGGGACCAGUGACGUCAAUAUUUUCUUGCAUUAAUAACUGAUAACACUGUUUCCUUGCAUCUUUACCUGCUUGACUUGAUAUGAGUCAUAACUGAUUUACACUGUUUCCUUGUAUUAAUAUUUCCAAUGGAAAAGACGUUGGAAGAUGAACCCACUAUAAUACCAAUGACUGUUUCAUUAUAAGAUAUCGUAUUGCAUUUAGGAAUUCCUCACCUGAAGCCAUGAUGGCUCUCUCUGAGAUCUUCUCUCAACUUUGCACCAAGGCCGUAGUCCUGUUGGCUCUGCUUCUAAUACAAGUUAUGGUCCUCGUAAAGAAGCUCAGGUCAGACACACGUCCAGUUAAUACCACCCAAUAUCUCAAACUUAUCGAACAGAAGAACCCCACAAUUUGUUUCACCAAGAGGUUGAGGCAAGAAGGUGCUGAGUGCAGGGUGUGCUUAUCUGAAUUCCAGGAAGGGGAAAAGGUGAGGAACUUGAAAUGUAAACACACAUUUCACAGAGAUUGCUUGGACAAGUGGUUGCAGCAAUAUUGGGCUACCUGCCCUCUUUGCAGGAACCAAGUUCUGCCAGAAGAUGUUGUGGCCAAGUAUCGUGAACUUCAGAAUCAGAGGGACUACGUCUUCUCCUUUUGGGAUCUCGCUGAAUAAUUUGGAUGUACCUUCUGCUAGAUUGAAGGAGACGAGUCAUGGGAGAUAUUUUGAGAAAAAAGGUAGAGGUUUUAAUUAAUUCUGGUGUCCCACAUCUGAAGU
Molecule: long non-coding RNA, 1534 nt
Organism: Neltuma alba
Lineage: Eukaryota; Viridiplantae; Streptophyta; Magnoliopsida; Fabales; Fabaceae
Exons: 4
Source: RefSeq, a predicted model, not a curated record